This is a long non-coding RNA of Ruditapes philippinarum (Manila clam), 299 nucleotides long. RefSeq lists it as uncharacterized. NCBI's taxonomy places the organism in Eukaryota, Metazoa, Mollusca, Bivalvia, Venerida, Veneridae. The record is from RefSeq and is a predicted model, not a curated record. The transcript is spliced from 3 exons.
UCGGAAUUUACUGUUCACCGACUUUCGAUUUUGAAAGAGGAACAAGAAAUGAAUUCAUGGGUAAAAUUUAAUUAUUGCAACGGUGCGGUUAUAUAUAUUUGUUUCUUUAUGUAUGAGAUGAUUUUAGUCUGAGUGUUGCACAAGAUGCUGUAAAGAAGCAAAAUGGCAGAGGGUGGACAAAGGUCAAUAGGAGGAGAAGAUAAUGAUAUUCCUUAUGCUGAUGCUGAUGAAGGAAUUGUGAGUAUAUGUAUAUUAAGAUAAUUUCGUUUAAUAUUUUAAAGUUAUUGAACAAAAGUUUU